RNAcentral lists this long non-coding RNA (339 nucleotides) under Rattus norvegicus (Norway rat). Its description in RNAcentral is "long non-coding RNA NONRATT023309". The record is from RNAcentral. Lineage: Eukaryota; Metazoa; Chordata; Mammalia; Rodentia; Muridae.
CAUUUUAUCCUUCCCCCUUCUUUCUACUCCAUUGAGAAACAAUACUGAGCACCCACUCUUCAAAUUCGAUAGAGCACAAAAGCAGACACUGCCCUUGCCCUCGGGAGGCUUGCCCUGUUAUGGGUGACCUGUGUUCACAAAGUAAUCCCAGAACUGAACAAAACCGCUGUCACUGCAAUAGGCAAUGUGUUGCAGAGGGCUCCAGGCUGGUGGGAGCCUGCAGAGGGAGAAUUUGACUUUAUGAGCGAGCUUCAGAACUUUUCUGGGAAGAUCAAGGUUGAGAUUCAGCCUGGAGGACCAAUAGCUAACAAGAUAAGAAGGCAGGCGGCAGGACCCUGG